Molecule: non-coding RNA, 5819 nt
Organism: Rattus norvegicus (Norway rat)
Lineage: Eukaryota; Metazoa; Chordata; Mammalia; Rodentia; Muridae
Source: RefSeq, a predicted model, not a curated record
GACCGCGCCGAGCGCCUUCCCGGCCCUGCGGCCCAGCGGCUUCGCUUCCCCAGCCUCGCCCGGGGCGGUGGCUGAUGCGUCCGCGCGGUGACCUGUGCGGGACCCGGGGAGGCUGAAGAAGCGAGUCCAGGCCCGAGCGCGGCGGCGAGCGGAUAACGGGGGAGGAGAUAGCGGGGCGGGCCCGGCCGGGGCGGGCUCUGGGACGCCGUCCCUGGCGGUGCCUGGAGGACAGAGGUGGGGAUGGCGAUGGUUCUGUUUUGUUGCUGCGUUGCCUGCGGGUGCAGAGGCGACGGAGGCCUCCUGACACUUUGGAACCUCGGCUGAAGUCCCUGGUCUCGCUCCAAGCCUCUUCAGGGAGAAGAAGAAGCCUAUCUGCUUUUGAUUUUCUUCCCCUCUUCCCCUCUUUCUUGGUGGUGAAUGACACUACCCUUCCCAUUAGUUCACCCGUACCUGGGGGAUAGUAGUUUCUUGGGCAAAGUGAUGUCCUUCCAGGAUAUGGCAUAGCAACCAGCUCGCCGCUGGUGACGGCGAAUUUUGAUGUAUGAGUGUUUGCCUUUAAGCCAUAAGAAAAGAGAGUGGGUCAGAACUUUCGGGAAUAAACCCACGCACACAUUAGCGUGUCACAAAGUAACGCUGUUUUGGGACUAUUGGGAAGGGUAGACAGCGCAACACGUUUCCCACCGUUUCUUUUGUAUCUUCUCAUGAAAGAAUGGUGUCUUGUAGCCUUCAACUCCCUUUGUAUCCAAAAAUGACCUUGACUUUCUAAUUCUCAUACGGUGGAUCAGCUAUGUGCCGUAACUUCCUGUCUAUGCAGUGCUGGGGAGUGAACCCAAAGCUUCGUGCAUACUAGGCAAACCGUGUUGCUAGCACCUCAUCCCUAGUGCUGGAUUCUAAUUUGGAAUCCUCAGUAAUUAAAGGAAGAAAAAACGUCUUAAAGUUUCUGUUUGUUCUUCAGACAAUAUCGAUAUUUCCAGACUGUGUUUAACCAUAUGGGAAUGUAAGUCAGAAUUCACGAAUGAACACAUUUUAGGCACUCUGGUAAGGUCAUCUUUCCACUUUCACUACUAGACAUGAUGGUUUCUUUUUGAGUGAUAUAGAAAUUUAUGUGUGUUGAGGUUUUUUUGGGGGUGGGGUGUGGUGAGACAGGGUUUCUCUGUGUAGCCUUAGCUGUCAGGGAACUCACUUUGUAGACCAGGCUGGCCUUGAACUCACAGAGAUCUGCCUGCCUUUUCCUCCCAAGGGCUGGGAUUAAAGGCAAAUGCCACCACCACCCAAUUUACGUGUUUUUAAUUUAUAGGAUUUACAUUUUGUAGAAAUGUUUCAUUUUACUUUUUUCUUUGGAUUUAAUGCUAUCACAAAAGUUUCUAAGUAUUUGUUAAAUGGAUAAAUUAUUUGUGGGAUAGAGAGUAGGUGAGCAAACAUGGCAGAACACAGCUAUAAUACACAUAGGUGAGGAACGGAAACAAGAGGAUUCCAAGCUCCCAGCCAGAGGAAAGCUACACAGCCAGACUGCAUCCCUCAGGUUAGACAGAGUCUAGACAGGAGGUUAGAAUCCGCUAUUGCAAAAUCACCAAUUUGUAUGCAAAGAGUCCACUACUAAAACCCUUUUAAGACAGAUAUGCAGUUGCAUGGACAGUGGAACAUUUUUAGAGGCAUUUUUGGUAAGAAAAAGCUUACUUUCUAAAUGAAAUGCCAUUCAUUUAGUGAAUCUCAUAAAUACGUGUUUAUCAGAUUUGGACCAUGUGUGGUACUGAACUCAGAAGUGAGUGUUGUGUGUGUGUGUGUGUGUGUGUGUGUGUGUGUGUGUGUGUGUGUAGGGUCAGGGAGAAACACUAUAGGAUACUUUUAAAUGUGCUUUGCUGUUUACUGUCAUUGAGGUAGAAUUAUACUUUCCUCACUGUAAAGUUGGGUUGCUAUUUACUAACCUUGUAGUCAUUGUUAAUGUUAGUGUUAGAUAAGCUACAAGCUACUGUUUGAAAAUCAGCUAUCACUGUGGGACUGAUAGGCCAUGGCCUAUCGUAGUGAAUACUGAAAGGGAAACUGAUAUUACUGUUGCUCUGUUGAAAUAGGUGCUAAUUCAUUUUAUCAUGGAGAAAGAAUUAAGGCUAUUUGGAAAUAGAUAAACUGGCCAGGAGGGUAUCAGGAUGCUGCUUCUGGCUCUGUAACCCCGAGUUAGCAGAUGCUUAGCUAUUCUUAGUUUCUUUGCUUUUUAGAUAAAGAGGCCAGAUUAGAUGAUCUCCAAGAUUUCUUUGAACUCUGAUGUUCUGAUUGAAGUUGUGAUUUGGUUUUUGUUUUGGGAAGCAGUAGGAUAAUCAACUUGAACAUCUAACCGCUAUACACAAAAUAUUUAAGACUGAGUAACUGGACGAAAUCCAAGUUAGUGCAGAACGGAGCAGUAGCCUGCUAGCAGUGUCAGGUUCUAGUCACUCAGAAUAACCAGUUAGGAGGCUGGGAGGAGGGAUACAGACCAUAUGUUGGUUUGCAGUGCAGCAGCUGCUUGUUUUAUAGUAGCUGGACUUCAGCAGAUCAGCUCAGUACUUCAAUAGAAGGAAAUCACAAACCCCCUUCUGCCAGCCUAUUGGUGGGGCGCCAUGUGUCAGGAAUCUGACAGCACUGGAUUGGAAUGCCUGAAUUACCUGGGCUCUCACUUUUCUCUCCACUUCCUCCUUUGGUUUCAAAACUGGUACAGCAUCUUCCCACUUCCCCCACCCUCAACCAACCACUAGCUACCACUGUGUGUGUGUGUGUGUGUGUGUGUGUGUGUGUGUGUGUGUGUGUGUGUGCGCGUGCGCGCACAUGUCUUUUAAUUGGUGCCACUUUAUUUUACAUUGUCUUUAUCCCUUUUCUUUUCUCAUGAUUUGAUCUGUUGAAUGCUACAGUGUACCUGACAUCUCACAGGCUUGCUUCCUAGUCUCCUUUUUCAGGCUCCAGUAGUGAUAUCUUUUUUUCAUUUGUACUUUUCAUCCUAUUAAGUAUUUAGAGGUAGAUUUGUUUAUGUGUAUAAACUAAUGUCUGCAGACAGGAUUUUUUCCUGUUAUGUUACUGGCUGGCAACUCUGUCAUCACACUCUUUUUUGCAGACAUUAGAUAGUAUGCCUUAGGGUGCCUUUUUUCUUUUUAGGAUUUUUUUUUUAUUUGGGUGUGGUAGAACCCACCUUUAAAUCCAGCACUUGGAAGUAUAGGCAGAUGGAUCUCUUGAGUUUGAGGCCAGCCUGGUCUAUAGAGUUCCAGAACAGCCAGAGCUACACAGAGAGACACUGGUUCAAAAAACAAACCAAAAAAAGCUUUAUUUUUAUUUUUUUUGUAUGUGUGUGAACAUGCUUGUGGAGGUCAGAGGAAGGGAACAGAGCUCCCUCUUGCUGGGCGGUUGUGAGCUGUCACACGUCAGUGCUCAGAACUGAUCAUGGGGCCUCUGGCAGACCAGCAAGUAUUCUCAACUGAGCUAGUUUUCCAAGCUCCUUUUUUAAAAUUGAAACAGAAAUGCUCUAAAUCAUAAUUGUACUUUUUAGAUUUUAAAGACAUAAUAAUGACUGAGUCUAUAUAAAAUGAAAAAUAGGAUUAUUGACCUUAUGGAGUGUAAUAAAUCCAAAGUUAAAAAUUAGCAGAACUGAAUUUUUUACUUUGCGGGGGAAAAUGUCAUUUUUCUAUCCUGUAUUUUUUUUUUCAAUCUUUGUUGUUAAGAUAGGGUCUCACGUCGUCCAGGCUGGUCUCUCACUGUGUCCUGUUGGAUGACCUUGAGUUGUAGAUUCUUCUGCCUCUCCUGAAGUACCUGGGUUACAGGUAUGGGCCCCAGGCUCAAGGUGUGGUUUAUUGAAAUUGUCAAUUUGACACAAUGUAGAGAGUUCCCCGAAAAGAGAGUCUUACUGAGGAACUGUCCAGAUUAGGCUGGCUUUGCUGGAUUGUCUUGACUAAGUUAAUUGAUGUAGGAAGACCCAGCCUGAAAGUGGGCGGCAGUGUACCUAAGAGUUUGGGUCCUUGACCUAAAAAUAAGCUGAGCACUAGGCAGGCAGGUGUGCGUCCAUUCUCUUGGCUCUGAUGUGCAUGCCACUAGUGGCUUCAAGUUCGGAUUUCUUGACUUCCCUCUUACAGCUGAUUGUAGCCUUGAAUCACAAGCUACUGUAAACCCUUUUUCUCCCCUAAGUUGUCUUCUUGUUAGGGCAUUUUAUCAAAGCACCAGAAACGAAACUAGAAUACCCAAAUUUUCAUCUUAAUGACUCGUGGGGAUUAUUUUAAAAGUAUUAUGAGUGAACUCUGGAGUACAUAGAUAGAAAACUGUAAGUGUGAGCAAUGAAUGAUUUUAGGAUGCUUGUAUUCAAAUCCCAGUGACCUGGGCAAACUCCUGAACUCUUGUGUUCCAGCUGUCUACACCAACACCAAGUUACAAUAUUUUGAGAUUAUUGUAAUAACUAAAUGAGCUCUAAUUUAUGCAGAGUUCUGUGUUUUGCCAUUGAUAAACAGAGUAGAUCUUAGCCAUUAGUGUAAUAAUAGACAGCAUCUCAAAUUGAGCAAUUGUGUGUGUGUGUGUGUUUGUUUGUGUGCACGUGUGUGUGCACGCACGUGCACGUGCGCAUGCAGGCACUAGCCUAGAGGUAACUGACUGAAUUACUACAGUAAGUAAUAGUCUCAAAGAUAGGUGGAGGGCUUUUAUGAUAAACCCUUUUGUUUUACUCUGUGGUCUCAAACAGUGUUUGUAGAACAUCUGGGUAUGACUUUGUCACAGAUUUGAAGCCACAGGGUGAUGAAGUGUAUGAAGUAACACAUUGUGAAACAGAAGACUGUAGAUUUUCAGAUAUUUCUGGAUGGACAAAGAUGAGGAUGAGUGAGAUGUGUGUGUGUGUGUGUGUGUGUGUGUGUGUGUGUGUGUGUGUGCGUGCUUGCGUGCGUGCGUGCGUGCGUGCGUUAAAUUAAAGGAAUGGAUUGUAGGCUGUUAGGGUUUGUUGCGGAUGCUGUGGUGGGGACAGCUAAGGUGUGUUAGAAAUAUAAGAAGGCUGAACGAGUAAAGGCACGCAGACAAUCUGGGUUCAAUCCCAGGGCCCACAUGGUGGAGGAAAGAGCUAACCCCUGAAAUUGUCCCCCACAUGAGGGCUGCGGCACCCCCUUCCAAAAUAACUGAAUGAAUGUAGCAAAAAAAUUUAAAGGUAUUUUAAAUGUAAUGUGCAUUACACAGACCUCCAAACGAUCUCAGUGUCAGUCACAAAGGUGUUUUACUGUUAAGAUGCAUAAGUUAUUGUUAAAGGCAUCUUGCCAUUGUAUUACUAGUGAGAUGUAUUACUAAUUUAAAUGUUGCAGGUGCAAAGUUUAAGGGUAAAUAAAUCAAGUAUCUUAAUUUUGAGUUUUGAGGAUGAUAUUUAUAAACAUAUGAUUAAGAAUCUCACUCAGUGGCUUAUUUAUCCAGUUCUGGGACAAUAUCUUCUUUGAGGGUUCUGUUAAAAGAGUUAUUAGUGAGUGAGCUGGAAGGAAGGUCAGUGAACCUGUAGCCUUCUGAGAAAGGAAGUAACUGCAAGGAAGGCAAUGCCUUGAAUUGCAAAGGGUUAAACCAUAUGUUUUUCUGUGCAGAAAAAUUGGUGCACUAAUUGCCAAAAUUAGUACCACCCAAAAGUAAAAAUUAAGAGAAAAAAAAACCACCUUACCAAAUGAAUUCUGCUUUCUUUAGAGUUGAUCCAUGCCAAAUAGAGUGUUUCUUUGGUUAGUCAGAGUACUCCCAGCGGACUUGGAGUAUCCCUCAUGUGUUGAUGUGGAGUUGAUGUGGAGGGCUGAGUGGAGCUGAAGGCUUCAGAAUGCCAAAUGGCUUAUGUUUUUAAUUGUUGUCACAUUCUAGGG